RNAcentral lists this ribosomal RNA (349 nucleotides) under uncultured bacterium. Its description in RNAcentral is "bacterial SSU rRNA". It matches the Rfam family "Bacterial small subunit ribosomal RNA", at positions 446 to 793 of the family's 1533-position model. The record is from RNAcentral.
GGAUAUGUUAAUAGCAUAUUCAUUUGACGUUAGCUGCAGAAGAAGCACCGGCUAACUCCGUGCCAGCAGCCGCGGUAAUACGGAGGGUGCGAGCGUUAAUCGGAAUUACUGGGCGUAAAGCGCAUGCAGGUGGUUUGUUAAGUCAGAUGUGAAAGCCCGGGGCUCAACCUCGGAAUUGCAUUUUGAAACUGGCAAACUAGAGUACUGUAGAGGGGGUAGGAAUUUCAGGUGUAGCGGUGAAAUGCGUAGAGAUCUGAAGGAAUACCGGUGGCGAAGGCGGCCCCCUGGACAGAUACUGACACUCAGAUGCGAAAGCGUGGGGAGCAAACAGGAUUAGAUACCCUGGUAG